ACGGUGAAGCAGAGCUUGCUCUGUGGAUCAGUGGCGAACGGGUGAGUAACACGUGAGCAAUCUGCCCCUGACUCUGGGAUAAGCGCUGGAAACGGCGUCUAAUACCGGAUACGAGCUGCGACCGCAUGGUCAGUAGCUGGAAAGAAUUUCGGUCAGGGAUGAGCUCGCGGCCUAUCAGCUUGUUGGUGAGGUAAUGGCUCACCAAGGCGUCGACGGGUAGCCGGCCUGAGAGGGUGACCGGCCACACUGGGACUGAGACACGGCCCAGACUCCUACGGGAGGCAGCAGUGGGGAAUAUUGCACAAUGGGCGAAAGCCUGAUGCAGCAACGCCGCGUGAGGGAUGACGGCCUUCGGGUUGUAAACCUCUUUUAGCAGGGAAGAAGCGAAAGUGACGGUACCUGCAGAAAAAGCGCCGGCUAACUACGUGCCAGCAGCCGCGGUAAUACGUAGGGCGCAAGCGUUAUCCGGAAUUAUUGGGCGUAAAGAGCUCGUAGGCGGUCUGUCGCGUCUGCUGUGAAAACCCGAGGCUCAACCUCGGGCCUGCAGUGGGUACGGGCAGACUAGAGUGCGGUAGGGGAGAUUGGAAUUCCUGGUGUAGCGGUGGAAUGCGCAGAUAUCAGGAGGAACACCGAUGGCGAAGGCAAGAUCUCUGGGCCCGUAACUGACGCUGAGGAGCGAAAAGGGUGGGGAGCAAACAGGCUUAGAUACCCUGGUAGUCCACCCCGUAAACGUUGGGAACUAGUUGUGGGGUCCAUUCCACGGAUUCCGUGACGCAGCUAACGCAUUAAGUUCCCCGCCUGGGGAGUACGGCCGCAAGGCUAAAACUCAAAGGAAUUGACGGGGACCCGCACAAGCGGCGGAGCAUGCGGAUUAAUUCGAUGCAACGCGAAGAACCUUACCAAGGCUUGACAUAUAGAGGAAACGUCUGGAAACAGUCGCCCCGCAAGGUCUCUAUACAGGUGGUGCAUGGUUGUCGUCAGCUCGUGUCGUGAGAUGUUGGGUUAAGUCCCGCAACGAGCGCAACCCUCGUUCUAUGUUGCCAGCACGUAAUGGUGGGAACUCAUGGGAUACUGCCGGGGUCAACUCGGAGGAAGGUGGGGAUGACGUCAAAUCAUCAUGCCCCUUAUGUCUUGGGCUUCACGCAUGCUACAAUGGCCGGUACAAAGGGCUGCAAUACCGUGAGGUGGAGCGAAUCCCAAAAAGCCGGUCCCAGUUCGGAUUGAGGUCUGCAACUCGACCUCAUGAAGUCGGAGUCGCUAGUAAUCGCAGAUCAGCAACGCUGCGGUGAAUACGUUCCCGGGUCUUGUACACACCGCCCGUCAAGUCAUGAAAGUCGGUAACACCUGAAGCCGGUGGCCCAACCCUUGUGGAGGGAGCCGUCGAAGGUGGGAUCGGU
RNAcentral lists this ribosomal RNA (1397 nucleotides) under Cellulosimicrobium cellulans. RNAcentral describes it as "16S ribosomal RNA". It matches the Rfam family "Bacterial small subunit ribosomal RNA". Lineage: Bacteria; Bacillati; Actinomycetota; Actinomycetes; Micrococcales; Promicromonosporaceae. The record is from RNAcentral.